Molecule: ribosomal RNA, 261 nt
Filed under: uncultured Desulfobulbaceae bacterium
Lineage: Bacteria; Pseudomonadati; Thermodesulfobacteriota; Desulfobulbia; Desulfobulbales; Desulfobulbaceae
Description: partial 16S ribosomal RNA
Rfam family: Bacterial small subunit ribosomal RNA
Source: RNAcentral
AAAACAACUACGGAGGGUGCAAGCGUUGUUCGGAAUUACUGGGCGUAAAGCGCGCGUAGGCGGUUUGUUAAGUCAGAUGUGAAAGCCCAUGGCUCAACCAUGGACGUGCAUUUGAAACUGGCAGACUUGAGUAUUGGAGGGGGUGGUGGAAUUCCCGGUGUAGAGGUGAAAUUCGUAGAUAUCGGGAGGAAUACCAGUGGCGAAGGCGGCCACCUGGCUCGUUAUUGACGCUGAGGCACGAAAGCGUGGGGAGCAAACAGG